This 230-nucleotide signal recognition particle RNA is filed under the name Homo sapiens (human). RNAcentral's name for it is "Metazoan signal recognition particle RNA". It matches the Rfam family "Metazoan signal recognition particle RNA", at positions 55 to 288 of the family's 299-position model. Rfam says of the family: The signal recognition particle (SRP) is a universally conserved ribonucleoprotein. It is involved in the co-translational targeting of proteins to membranes. The record is from Rfam by way of RNAcentral. Lineage: Eukaryota; Metazoa; Chordata; Mammalia; Primates; Hominidae.
GGAUUGCUUGAGCCCAGGAGUUCUGGGCUGUCAUGCACUGUGACCAUGAGGUGUCCACACUAAGUUCCACAUCAAUACAGUGACCUCCUGGGAGUGAGGGACCAACAGGUUGUCUAAGGAGGAGUGAAGCAGCCCAGGUCAGAAAUGGAGCAUGUCAAAACUUUCAUGCUGAUCAGUAGAGGAAUUGUACCUGUGAAUAGCCACACUGCAGCCUGGGCAACAUAGCAAGA